Molecule: small nuclear RNA, 116 nt
Filed under: Sphenodon punctatus (tuatara)
Lineage: Eukaryota; Metazoa; Chordata; Lepidosauria; Sphenodontia; Sphenodontidae
Description: U2 spliceosomal RNA (ENSSPUG00000018233.1)
Rfam family: U2 spliceosomal RNA (bases 1-75)
About the family: U2 is a small nuclear RNA (snRNA) component of the spliceosome (involved in pre-mRNA splicing).
Source: RNAcentral
AAGUGUAGUAUCUGUUCUUAUCAGUUUAAUAUCUGAUACGUCCUCGAUCCAGGAACUUGAUUAUUUGAAACUUCCAAGAUUUGUGCCCAGUUUUACCAUCUCAGCUGAGGAUGAAC